UAGUCCACGCCGUAAACGAUGAGAACUAGUUGUCGGGAGGGUUUAGCCUCUCGGUGACGCAGCUAACGCGUUAAGUUCUCCGCCUGGGGAGUACGGUGGCAACACUAAAACUCAAAGGAAUUGACGGGGACCCGCACAAGCGGUGGAGCAUGUGGUUUAAUUCGAUGCAACGCGAAGAACCUUACCUGAGCUUGACAUGUCACAAAUUUUUGCGAGAGCAAAAAGUGCCUUCGGGAAUGUGAACACAGGUGGUGCAUGGCUGUCGUCAGCUCGUGUUGUGAGAUGUUGGGUUAAGUCCCGCAACGAGCGCAACCCUUGUCUUUAGUUGCCAUCAUUAAGUUGGGCACUUUAAAGNGACUGCCGGUGACAAACCGGNGGAAGGUAAGGAUGACGUCAAGUCAGCAUGCCCCUUAUGCUCUGGGCUACACACGUGCUACAAUGGCUGUGACAAAGAGUUGCUACUUUGUGUAAAACAAGCUAAUCUCAUAAACGCGGACCUCAGUUCGGAUUG
This 511-nucleotide ribosomal RNA is filed under the name uncultured bacterium. RNAcentral describes it as "bacterial SSU rRNA". It matches the Rfam family "Bacterial small subunit ribosomal RNA", at positions 791 to 1300 of the family's 1533-position model. The record is from RNAcentral.